UUGCCCCUGGAAUCGGGCACGAAAGACAAGACCUUCUUGAGCACAGGGUCAUUUUCUCAGAACUCGAGACUUGACCUUCUUGUCGAAUGCUUUCAUCACUCUCUGCUGAUAUGACUGACCAUGACACAUGGCAGUUGAUCUCUUCCUUUCGAUCGAAUUCAGCAUCAGUCAACUUGGGACUUUGAGGGUGCUAUCUUUCUUUUGUUUUGUUUUUUUUUUUUU
This 222-nucleotide long non-coding RNA is filed under the name Lathyrus oleraceus (garden pea). RNAcentral describes it as "Pisum sativum (pea) long non-coding RNA (PSAT_LNC041392)". The record is from RNAcentral. Lineage: Eukaryota; Viridiplantae; Streptophyta; Magnoliopsida; Fabales; Fabaceae.